RNAcentral lists this ribosomal RNA (492 nucleotides) under uncultured bacterium. RNAcentral describes it as "partial 16S ribosomal RNA". It matches the Rfam family "Bacterial small subunit ribosomal RNA", at positions 29 to 507 of the family's 1533-position model. The record is from RNAcentral.
AGUGAACGCUGGCGGUAUGCCUAACACAUGCAGGUCGAACGGCAGCACAGUAAGAUCUUUCUCUUACUGGUGGCGAGUGGCGGACGGGUGAGGAAUACAUCGGCAUCUACUUUUUCUUGGGUGAUAACGUAGGGCAACUUCUGCUAAUACCUCAUACGACCUACGGGUUAAAUCAGGAGAUCUUCGCACCUUUCGCGUUUCAAUUAGCCGAUGUCGCAUUAGCUAGUUGGCUGGGUAAGGGCCCACCAAGGCAACGAUCCGUAGCUGGUCUGAGAGGAUGAUCGGCCACACUGGAACUGAGACACGGUCCAGACUCCUACGGGAGGCAGCAGUGGGGAAUAUUGGACAAUGGGCGCAAGCCUGAUCGAGCAAUACCGCGUGAGUGAAGAAGGCCUUCGGGUUGUAAAGCCCUUUUGUUAGGAAAGAAAAAAAGCAGGUGAAAACACGGAUGUUCUGACGGUACCCAAAGAAUAAGCAACGGCUAACUACGUG